This is a small nuclear RNA of Molossus molossus (Pallas's mastiff bat), 156 nucleotides long. RefSeq annotates it as U1 spliceosomal RNA. The record is from RefSeq and is a predicted model, not a curated record. NCBI's taxonomy places the organism in Eukaryota, Metazoa, Chordata, Mammalia, Chiroptera, Molossidae. The transcript has a single exon.
GUACUUACCUGGUAGGGGAGAUACCGUGAUCACGAAGGUGGUUUUCCCAGUUGUCCAUUGCACCCCAGGUGUGCUGAUCCCUGUUAUUUCCCCAAAUGGGGGAAACUCAAGUGCAUCACUUGUGGUAUUGGGGGACUGCGUUCGUACCGUCCUCUG